This 240-nucleotide non-coding RNA is filed under the name Butyrivibrio proteoclasticus. Its description in RNAcentral is "T-box sequence". It matches the Rfam family "T-box leader". From Rfam's summary of the family: Uncharged tRNA acts as the effector for transcription antitermination of genes in the T-box leader family. T-boxes are found upstream of many aminoacyl-tRNA synthetase genes and some amino acid biosynthetic genes usually in Gram-positive bacteria. The anticodon of a specific tRNA base pairs to a specifier sequence within the T-box motif, and the NCCA acceptor tail of the tRNA base pairs to a conserved bulge in the T-box antiterminator hairpin. Lineage: Bacteria; Bacillati; Bacillota; Clostridia; Lachnospirales; Lachnospiraceae. The record is from RNAcentral.
AAAUAGACGUUGAAGAGGAAUAGUAACUGUGUAAGCGUUUCAGAGAGAAAGCCAGUGGUGGAAGGCUUUUACGACCAAACAGCGAACCUGCCUUGGAGUUCUGUGUGAACGUAUUUGUGAUAAUCCAUUGACAAGCAUAAGCACAGCGUUUCCCGCGUUAAGGGGUAGUUGAGAGAAGUCCGGGAGCUUUUUAUCCGGAUUUAAAAAGGGUGGUACCGCCGAUGAACUUCGGUCCCUGAU